GUGGGGAAUAUUGGACAAUGGGCGGAAGCCCGAUCCAGCAACGCCGCGUGAGGGAUGACGGCCUUCGGGUUGUAAACCUCUUUCGGUACCGACGAAGCGAGAGUGACGGUAGGUACUAAAGAAGCACCGGCCAACUACGUGCCAGCAGCCGCGGUAAUACGUAGGGUGCGAGCGUUGUCCGGAAUUAUUGGGCGUAAAGGGCUCGUAGGCGGUUUGUCACGUCGGGAGUGAAAACCAGGUGCUUAACACCUGGCCUGCUUCCGAGACGGGCAGACUGGAGGUAUGCAGGGGAGAACAGAAUUCCUGGUGUAGCGGUGAAAUGCGCAGAUAUCAGGAGGAACACCGGUGGCGAAGGCGGUUCUCUGGGCAUUACCUGACGCUGAGGAGCGAAAGUGUGGGGAGCGAACAGGAUUAGAUACCCUUGUAGUCC
Molecule: ribosomal RNA, 430 nt
Filed under: uncultured bacterium
Lineage: Bacteria
Description: partial 16S ribosomal RNA
Rfam family: Bacterial small subunit ribosomal RNA
Source: RNAcentral